GCUCACGGCCAUAUCAGCCUGGGUACGCCCGAUCUCGUCUGAUCUCGUAAGCUAAGCAGGUUCGGGCCUGGUUAGUACUUGGAUGGGAGACCGCCUGGGAAUACCAGGUGCUGUAAGCA
RNAcentral lists this ribosomal RNA (119 nucleotides) under Salmo salar (Atlantic salmon). The record is from RNAcentral. Lineage: Eukaryota; Metazoa; Chordata; Actinopteri; Salmoniformes; Salmonidae.